CAAACGGGAUAUGACCGCGUAAGUUUAUCCUGAUGAUAAGAUAAAUUUAUGAGAUAAAGUCCGGGCUCCUUCGGAAAAAAUGCCGGAUAAGAACCGGGCAUCUGCUGGAAGCUGCAUAAUUUCUUGCAUAGCCCAGUAUGAUGACAGAUAGUGCAACAGAAAGUAAACCGCCUUUAAAAGGUAAGGGUGAAAGGGUGGUGUAAGAGACCACCGGUUAUCUGGUAACAGAUAAUGCUGGUAAACCUCAUUUGGAGCAAGGCCGCGCAGCAGUUUGUUAUUCCGAGCUUAUACUGCGGGUAGGCCGCUUAAGCUUUGUGAUAACACAAAGUUUGGAUAGAUGGUCAUGGUACUUAGUACUGACAGAACCCGGCUUAUUGUCCCGUUUGUUUU
RNAcentral lists this RNase P RNA (390 nucleotides) under Treponema sp. Its description in RNAcentral is "RNase P RNA component class A". It matches the Rfam family "Bacterial RNase P class A". Rfam says of the family: Ribonuclease P (RNase P) is a ubiquitous endoribonuclease, found in archaea, bacteria and eukarya as well as chloroplasts and mitochondria. Lineage: Bacteria; Pseudomonadati; Spirochaetota; Spirochaetia; Treponematales; Treponemataceae. The record is from RNAcentral.